UCCAAUCUCGCUUCAACGUUCUUCCAACCUUGUUGUGCUUAAUAAACUUCUCUGUUUCCAGGAGCCUUCUUCUGUUUCGUACAAACAGACGGCUUCUCACGCUGGAACCCUUCAAGUAUCCUUCAAACUUUCACCAUGUGAGUUUUUUUCACAUCGCCUUUGUGAACUUCCGUCAUGUCUUCAUCCGGUUGUUCUUCCAACCUUCUUCCACUCACUUUCUUCUAAGUGAACAUUCUAAUUUUUCCUUUUGGUGUCCUUUUGAUCACCAAAUCUGGGCGUGAACCCUUUCACCAAAUCUGUGCGUGAACUCAGUCACGUCUCUUCUUCGGUUAUCUUCUCCACGUCUCUGUGACGUCUCUUCUUUGGUUAUCUUCUCCACGUCUUCUUCGAACAAGUUUCAGAAUUCUCCUUCCACAACUCUAAUUCACCAUCUCUUUCCAUUUCCUUUUGAGAAGAUCUCACAUCUCCUUCAUCCCUUUGGAGCCUUCUUCUUGAAGGCUCCAAGACCAACAUAAGCUCUGAUACCAUGUUAGAAGCAAAAGCUUCUCUCUCACAAAGAGCAAAACAAGCGUACUUGUUGCUCUGUUUUAUAGAAGAUAAAACAGAGUAUUUGAGAAACUUGUGAUUGUAUUAAUAAACUGAAAAACUUGUAUGUUUACAUCAUAGUUUCGAUGCUUAAAUAGAUAAAACAACAGACGCAAAUAAGAGUUCCAUCUCUUCUACUUGUGACGUUUAGACAA
This is a non-coding RNA of Camelina sativa (false flax), 740 nucleotides long. Lineage: Eukaryota; Viridiplantae; Streptophyta; Magnoliopsida; Brassicales; Brassicaceae. The record is from RefSeq and is a predicted model, not a curated record.